GACCAGUUUAUUCGACCUGGAAUAUAUAUUUUUGAAGUUUUCGUCCUAGUUCUCCUGGACCAGCGUCAGCUUUUGGGCACGUGAGCUGAAAGUGCUAGCAAAUGCAGCUAAUUGGACACUAGUAUUGGACAUUAUGGAACAAAACAACAAUUUAUUGUGGAACUAGGACUCCUUGCACUGCAUUCUGAUGAAAGAUCAUCAAAGGUUCGCCCUGACCAAGCUGGCCUGUCACGUUGAGGACCUCAUGCUGGACCAGCUCUUAGCCAUGGCCAUCCGCCUGGAUAGUUUCCUGCGUGACCGUCAUCGCCCAUCCAGGAGGUUCGGGUCUCUCCCAGGAACCUCCAGCGAGACUGAGCCCAUGGAGGUUGGCAUGACGCACCUUCCCCUUGAGGAACAUCAAUGUCGCCGUCAACAGGGUCUCUACUCCUACUGCGGGGAGUCGACCACCCCUGAAACACCUGUCCCAGAAAGAGAACCAGCCGAGGAAGUGACAGGCCGAGGAGCACUCCUGCACCUUCCCAGAUCUGCCAUCCACUCUACCAAUGCCCAACAGCCUUACCCAGAAGUGCAUACACUGGGCCAUUUAAUAUUGACAGAGCAGAAAUGGGUGGCUGACAAGGAGAAAACAAACACAACAUGCACACACUCUCUCUCUGUCUCUGUCACACACUUUAUGCCUAAUGUAAAUCAAUUGUAAUACUUGUUUAUUUUAUGUAUAAUCCAUUUUAUUUUAGGAUAGUACAUAUCUACGCCUACAUAUCCAUUAUCAGUAUCUACACAAUUACACUAAAUAUCUAUCAAAUCCAAGUGUGAUUGAUAAUAUUGUAAAAGAGUAUUGCUUAAUGUGUACAGUUUGAGGAAAUUCUCACUCACUCACUCACUCACUCACUCACUCACUCACUCACUCACUCACUCACUCACUCACUCACUCACACACACACACAUACACAUUAGAUCCUAUGUAAAGACACUGUUUAUUUUAUGUAUGCUCCAUUUUAUUUGAGGAUUGUGUGCAGUAAUGUACAUUGACAGCUAUAGCAAUUUUUUGGUUUAUUAUUAUAUUAUUAUAAUUAUAUUUCUCUGAUUAAAAUGAAUGACCAAAAGGAAGUUGGGAAAUCUGCAAACCUCUGAGGGUGUGCAGGUUUUUCAGUGGUGGAAAAAGUACCCAAUUGUCAUACUUGAAUAAAAGUAAAGAUAACAGAAAAUGUCUCAAGGAAAAGUGAAAGUCACGCAGUAAAAUACUACUUGAAGAAAAG
Molecule: long non-coding RNA, 1256 nt
Organism: Oncorhynchus tshawytscha (Chinook salmon)
Lineage: Eukaryota; Metazoa; Chordata; Actinopteri; Salmoniformes; Salmonidae
Source: Ensembl